UUUUCAGUGUCGCAGCGAAAGCGAUAAACACACCGCCUGGGGAGUACGACCGCAAGGUUAAAACUCAAAUGAAUUGACGGGGACCCGCACAAGUAGUGGAGCAUGUGGUUUAAUUCGAAGAUACGCGCAGAACCUUACCAACACUUGACAUGUUCGUCGCGACUUUAAGAGAUUAAAGUUUUCGGUUCGGCCGGACGAAACACAGGUGCUGCAUGGCUGUCGUCAGCUCGUGUCGUGAGAUGUUGGGUUAAGUCCCGCAACGAGCGCAACCCUCACUUUUAGUUGCCAUCAUUAAGUUGGGCACUCUGAAAGAACUGCCAGUGAUAAGCUGGAGGAAGGUGGGGAUGACGUCAAGUCCUCAUGGCCCUUACGUGUUGGGCUACACACGUGCUACAAUGGUAUCUACAACAGGAAGCAAAACAGCGAUGUUAAGCAAAUCCUUAAAAGAUACCUCAGUUCGGAUUGCACUCUGCAACUCGAGUGCAUGAAGCUGGAAUUACUAGUAAUCGUGGAUCAGCGUGCCACGGUGAAUGCGUUCCCGGGUCUUGUACACACCGCCCGUCACACCAUGGGAGUUGGUUCUACCUUAAGGCAAGGUUUCAAACCCUUGACCACGGUAUAGUCAGCGACUGGGGUGAAGUCGUAACAAGGUAGCCGUAGGGGAACCUGCGGCUGGAUUACCUCCUU
This 687-nucleotide ribosomal RNA is filed under the name uncultured marine alpha proteobacterium. Its description in RNAcentral is "bacterial SSU rRNA". It matches the Rfam family "Bacterial small subunit ribosomal RNA", at positions 837 to 1532 of the family's 1533-position model. The record is from RNAcentral. Lineage: Bacteria; Pseudomonadati; Pseudomonadota; Alphaproteobacteria.